Canis lupus familiaris (dog) is the source of this 619-nucleotide long non-coding RNA. RefSeq lists it as uncharacterized. The record is from RefSeq and is a predicted model, not a curated record. The transcript has 3 exons. NCBI's taxonomy places the organism in Eukaryota, Metazoa, Chordata, Mammalia, Carnivora, Canidae.
UUCUAAAGCUAUCAAAGGGGUGGGGGACUAAUCCAUGGUAAAUAUAAGACAUGGUUCUUUGACUCAGAAGAAAAGAGAAACACAACGUACCUGACCAUGAUUAUUGAGAUGUAAACUAUUCCAGCAGUAACAUUAUCAAGUAGGGCAAAAGAAAUAUCAAGAUGUUCAUCAAUGAAAUAUUUCCCAAUGUUCUCUGAAGCCAGAUAGCUAUUUCAGAGACAGCAUUUACAUUAUAAAAGUGGAAGAGAAAACCCACAGAUCUAAUUUACACCACUAGAUACAUCCAUGGGUCAGGCCAAGGCAGCAUGACGGCAACUGUUCACCAAAGAUGCACCAUCCUGACUAAUAUCAGAGGGAGAUGUUUUCCCAGGCAAUGAAAGAAAACAGAGAGAUAAACAUGAAAUGCAGCAAAAAAUCUGACAAAUUGUUAACAAUUUGUGAACUACGUGAAAGUCUUAGGGAUAUUGAUUGGUCCUGAUUGGAGAGCAGAAAAAAACUGAAUGAUUUUUUACCUUAAUAAAGAACUCCUACGGAGUAAAAAAAAUGUGUACUAUCAGAAAGCUAAGCAGCACAUCUAAAGGCAAUCAACGGGAUUUAAACUAACAACCUUCAAAUAUAA